CUCCCACUAAUCUACACAUUCAGAGGAUUGUGGAUAUAAGAGGCUGGGAGGCCAGCUUAGCAACCAGAGCUGGAGGCUGAUGCGAGCUUCAUCUCUUCCCUCAGGAAAGAUUCAACUGGCCAGCAUGUCCACGAAUUUUUCCUGUUCCCCAAACAUUCCUUCCUUUUCUGGCUUCCUUUUUGUUCUGCUGACCAUCCUUCUUUACGACUGUUCACCCCACAGAGUGUUUAAGAAGACUAGCUCCAAUGGGAAGUUUUCCAUCUACCUGGGGAAACGAGACUUCGUGGAUGAUGUGGACACUGUGGAGCCCAUUGAUGGAGUCGUCCUUGUUGACCCCGAGUACUUAGAAGGUCGAAAGUCAGUGUUUGUCAGGUUGACCUGUGCUUUUCGCUAUGGCCGUGAUGACUUGGAUGUGAUUGGUCUGACAUUUCGCAAAGAUCUCUAUGUACAAACCAAGCAAGUGGCUCCAGCUGAACCCACCAGCAUCCAGGGCCCCCUCACAGCCUUACAGGAGCGGCUUCUGCACAAGCUCGGGGUCAAUGCCUAUCCUUUUACACUUCAGAUGGUUGCUAACCUGCCCUGUUCAGUAACACUGCAGCCUGGGCCUGAAGAUUCAGGAAAGCCCUGUGGGGUUGACUUUGAAGUGAAGAGUUUCUGUGCAGAAAAUCUGGAAGAGAAAAUCCCUAAGAGUGAUUCUGUGCAGCUGGUUGUACGGAAAGUGCAGUUUUCAGCCCUGGAACCCGGCCCUGGUCCUUCGGCACAGACCAUUCGAAGCUUCUUUUUGUCAUCUCAGCCCCUACAACUGCAGGCCUGGAUGGACAGGGAGGUUCAUUACCAUGGAGAAGCUAUUUCUGUACAUGUUUCUAUCAACAACUAUACCAACAAGGUCAUCAGAAGAAUCAAGAUUGCAGUUGUCCAGACCACAGAUGUUGUCCUGUAUUCACUAGACAAGUACACGAAGACUGUGUUUGUUCAGGAGUUCACGUGAGCUGGGGCUGGGGCUGGGGCUGGGGAGAAAGUCAAAGGGGUUAGAUGGUGGGAAGAAGGCCAACAGACAGAGAAGGGAUCCUUGCUAUUUCUUUUGGAAAAGAAGAAAUAGCAAGGAUAACUAAGAGAUGAGGAAUGUCAAGGUGAGGGUUGAAGCCCACAAGGGGAGGGACUCUCAGGAGAACUAUGGGUGGGGCUAUGACUCAUCAGAAGAAGACCGAGACAAAGCUAGGGCAGAGCUUUCCCACCAGAGCUCAUUUUCCCAUUCUCCAAAGAUAUGCCACUUCUCUGUAUAUUUUCCACUGGUUCUUGAGACUAUGUGAGAUACUCUUGGGAGUAAAAGUACAUUUAGUUGGCCAGCAUGGCCUAAGUUCCUCUCUUGUUCUCUUUCAAAGAGAGACAGUAGCUGCUAACUCCAGCUUCUCCCAGACCUUUGCAGUAACCCCACUCCUGGCUGCCAACUGUCAGAAGCAGGGCCUGGCACUGGAUGGCAAACUCAAGCAUGAAGACACCAAUCUGGCCUCUAGCACAAUGUAAGCUCAUAUGUAAUUUAGAAUUUCUCCUUCCUACUCCUAAGCCACAUGCUAUACACACGGCUGUAAGGUUUCAUCUUCAGUCAAGCCGACUUGUCCUUUAAAAUGUUCCUCAGCCAGGGUUCAGUGUGCUCACAAGUCUCAGAGCCAGGCUCAAGUUAAAUUAAUGCCUAUGGGGCCAAUAGUAAGUUUAGGCUUUAGGUAAUGAGAAAGGAAAAUGCAGAGAACAGAAAACCUCUGUUAUAUAAAAUCUCACAGUGCAAACCAGGCAUGGGAGUGGGGUGGGGGGAUGCACGCUUGUAAUCCGAGCACUUAGUGGUCAGCACUGAGGUAGGGGAAUCACAAGUUUGAGGCCUGCUUAGGCUAUGCAGCAAGACCCUGCCAAGAAAAAAAAAAAGAGAGAGACAAACAGGGCACCUGCUGUUAAGCCGAGUUUGAGUCCUCAGAACACAUCUGGGGAAGGAAAGAACCAAUUCCUCUCUGCUUUCCACAUGUUCACCAUGGGCCCCCCACCCCCACACAUGUGCAGGAGUACAACAUGGAUGAACGAAAAUGCAAGGAUAAAAAAAAAUUAUAAACAAGACACAAUUCACAGAGGUCUUACAUCUAUUAUUAUAUUCCUAAGAAUAUCUCCAGGCAGUGGUGGCACAUGCCUUUAAUCCCAGCACUUGGGAGACAGAGGCAAGUGGAUCUCUGUGAGACUGUAUAGUCUACAUAUCCAGGACCAGUACAGCCAGGGCUAUACUGGGAAACUCUGACUUGAAGAAAAAAAAAGAAAGAUAGAAAGAAAAAGAAAAGAGAAAAGAGAGAAUACCAUUAAAGUACACUGGCCAGGUGGGUGGGUUUGUUGUUGUUUCUAAGAUUCAGAGGAUGAACUCAGGGCCUGUGCCCCCAACCCUGGUGAUACAUUAUUCAAUUUUACACAUGAGGACUCUGAGGCUCAGAGGCAAGGGAUUUGUUCAAGGUUGCAUAAGUAUGUGACAAACAGGAUUCUACUAUAUGCCAACUGGCUCUAAACACUGUGAUCUCUACAAUAGUUACUAUCUAGAGAAAGUAGAAUAGAGUAGAAGGUUAGGCAAUGAGAGAUGGUGGAAAGAGAGGAUGUGUAAUGACAAUUAUAUGGCAGGAAUUGAUAAAAUUCUUCCAUGGCAUUCAUUUGGCUCUAUGCCUUUAGAUUAGCAUUAAAUGGGUUUCUCACCAAAGCCAUUUGUCUACCAUCUACAAUCAUAAAUGACCAAUCCUCCCCCACCAAAGCCAUUUGUCUACCAUCUACAAUCAUAAAUAACCAAUUCUCCCCGCACCUGAUGAGUCAAGUAUCUACGGGUGUUAUUCAUAGAAACAGCUUUAGAAAUUAUCCAAAUAGUGUUAUUUUGGAGAAAGGGGAUCAGCACCCCCAAAGCAACCAAAGACUACCCUAAGAUCCUUCUAGCUUUCCGUAUCUUAUUUUUUAAACAGUAGGUUUCUCUUGAGCACCUAUUAAAUUCUCACUCCUCUGUAAUAUGAUGGGGAUAUACAAAGACUUUUAAGACAAUCUUUUCCUUCAGUCAAUAUAUGACCUGGAUGAGGAACAGAGAGGAAUGCAAAUGUAAUCCAACAGUUAAUUGUUGGUGCACCUGUUUUAUAUUACGAGUCCAAUAGAAGUUAAAGGCCAAAAUAGCUGGCAAGGGAUUCUUCGAGGAGAUAAGGAUGAUCUAGAUCUUGAAAAAAAAAAACUGUGUAAAAUCUGGAUACCAAUAGUAGAAGAAAGGAACAUUUCAGACUGGGAACAUGGCAUGAGAAGAAGCUGGAAGGCAGGAAUCCCACACGGUACUUUGAGGAGCACAGUGGGAAGACAGGUCUGCAGAGGCUGUUUUCUAGGUGUUUGGGAGUCAGGGCAGAAAAGAGAGAUGUAGAUGAAGCUAGAUUGCUUCGGCUUCUAAAAGCCAAGCAGAGUAGUUAUGUUCAAAAAUUAGGCCUUCAAAUAGAUAGUAACAUGAUCAAGUGGAAUUUUAGGAAGAAAAAUGUCACCUCAAUUGGGUAGAAACAAUUACAGCCUGGGAUAUCUUUUGGGAAAAGCCAAAGGCAAUGGGGACAUGAUAACAGGAAAGCAUGGGAAGGAUUUGGGGGGAGGUAAAUUCAAUUAUACUCCUAACACCCCCCAAUUGAUGCUAUAAUGUCAAGUCUUCGACCUGGAAUGAACAAGGAGCUUCUGGGGAUCCUGGUGUCCUACAAAGUUAGAGUCAACUUGGUGGUGUCCUAUGGGGGGUAAGUGAGGAUUUCCAGUUGGUCUGGGCAGGGGCUGGAAGCCAAGAGUUUCUCGCUUGUCCCCCCCCCCCACUGGAUUGACCAUUCAAGGUAUUCCUCUUUUUCCAAACUAAGUUCACAAGUCUCUUUCCCUGCUUAAGUUCCAUUCUGUUACUAAGUUGGCCUGGUGGUACCUUAUCCGCAGCCAAACUGGGUUGACUCCUCCCCAUUUUUAGCUACUAAUUUGGGAUGUCAUUUUAUUCACAGCAUUCUAGGAGGUCUGCCAGCCAGGUGAGAAGCUAGGGUGAGAGGACCAAGGCAGGACAGGGAGGAAGAGGGCAUAAGGAGACUAAAGGUCCCCUCAGAAGAACCCAAGGGCCUCUGGGGAUUGGGAAAACUGAAGGAAGGUCGGUGAUUGAGUCCUUUAAGGACAUCAGUAACUCCACUUUGGGAUGCUUGCAGUGAUGUUGGUGUGGAGCUGCCCGUGAUCUUGAUCCAUCCAAAGCCAUCUCCUGGGGAGAGAGCAGUGGCUACCAGGUAAGUCAGCAUGAGGCCUGGAAGCUCCACCCUGCCCCCUUGCCUACUGCUGUUUUAGGAUGCAAAUUUUAAAAGCUUCCUCAAAGUGUUGCUUUCAGGACUGUGCACCAGAAACAUGGUUUAGCUUCAUGUCAGUCUGGUGUUUUCCAAGCCCUCUUUCCCUGCCUCCCUGCCCGUCACCUGCUGCUCUUUUUGGAAUUCUUCUUCUCCCUCCUCCCUUCCAUUUUUCCCCCUCUUCUCUUCCCUCCCAAAACCCAUUCUGUUGCUAAGUUGUCCUUGUGAUCCCUCACUCCCUGGCAAAACUGGGUUGGUUGCCCCGUCUCUGUGACUUGUGCCCCCCCCCACCUUUUCCGCAUCACCCUCAUCUUUUUUUUUAAUCCUUUCCCUCUGCCCCAUCCUCUGUUGUUGUUUCCCUUCUGAUGCUCCUUGGUCCUUGGCACCAUUAUCUAGACAGAUUCCGAAGGGAAACACGCCCUCCCCAUGGGGCAUGGAGGGGAAGGCUGAGAAGCAGGGAAGGGAUUACCUCUCUAGACUCAAGAACGUGGCAGAAGCCCAGGAAGGGGGUUGAUAACUCUCCAUUCCCCUUUGCUGCUCCUGAAAGCUCGGAGGACAUAGUCAUCGAAGAGUUUAUGCAGCACAACAGCCAGACACAGAGCUAGAAAGCUCCAACAGCAGACAGAGUUAAGAGGAUCCGAUAGCCUAUCUCUGAUAAUUCUGUGUGGAAGCCCCCACUGCAACACUCUAAUAAAUCAUUUUGUCCAGACA
Mus musculus (house mouse) is the source of this 5045-nucleotide RNA transcript. It is a transcript of the gene named arrestin 3, retinal, with no coding region annotated. Lineage: Eukaryota; Metazoa; Chordata; Mammalia; Rodentia; Muridae. The record is from RefSeq and is marked validated. The transcript has 12 exons.